GGCAAGCAAGGUAUUAGGUCUUGAACAUAUGGAUGUUCUAAGAUUAAUAAUAUCUCAACCCAGAGAUGGACACUUCAUAUGAGAUAUGGUGUGUUCCUUAAUUUGCUUCAUAGAUUUUUAUUAUUGUCUCUUUCUGAGGAUAUGUCCCAAAAAUUGCUGUAUGAAUUAGAUACUAUAAAAAUCUAUUACAAGCACUCCAUAUGUGAUAUGAAAAGAGCAAAAGGUAGGUUGCCCAACUUAUGUGAAAAAGAUUGAUGUACAUAAGUUUGUACUAGAACAGAUUUUUAUAAGUAUA
RNAcentral lists this long non-coding RNA (295 nucleotides) under Elaeis guineensis (African oil palm). Its description in RNAcentral is "long non-coding RNA (EGUI_LNC077716)". Lineage: Eukaryota; Viridiplantae; Streptophyta; Magnoliopsida; Arecales; Arecaceae. The record is from RNAcentral.